AAAGUUGAUUUUCCUUUAUUUUUAAGUUAUAAUCCGGUUUGUCGAGCAAUCGACUAUGAUACUAAACGGUCAGUGGAAUAGGUGUAUUGGACUCGGGGGCGGUACCCGACACCUCCACCAUUUAUGGGGGUGAAACAGCAUCGACAAGCACAAUAAAGAUUGAAUCUUGUAUCCGGCAUUGUACCGCCGUUAUCGGGCUGAAACUUUAAAUGCGAAUGAUAAUUUCGCUCCAGUUGCAGUUGCUGUUUAAUUGACAGUUUGCGACUAAAUCAAUUCCUUUGGUGAUGAGAAUCGAAGGUGGGGUUGGUGCUUUCCCAGCAACAGAAAAGCACCGCU
Molecule: transfer-messenger RNA, 336 nt
Filed under: Alphaproteobacteria bacterium
Lineage: Bacteria; Pseudomonadati; Pseudomonadota; Alphaproteobacteria
Rfam family: Alphaproteobacteria transfer-messenger RNA
About the family: Bacterial tmRNA, also known as 10Sa RNA or SsrA, is named for its dual tRNA and mRNA-like properties.
Source: RNAcentral